Molecule: long non-coding RNA, 1259 nt
Filed under: Equus asinus (donkey)
Lineage: Eukaryota; Metazoa; Chordata; Mammalia; Perissodactyla; Equidae
Description: lncRNA (ENSEASG00005024853.1)
Source: RNAcentral
AGGAAAGGAAGACUGCGUGACACAACCAACAGGCUGAGCUGAUAGGGCCCACCCUUCCCUGGCCAUCCUGGGAAAAGCAAGAACCAGUGCUCUCCUGGUACCUUCUAUACUGGGCCAGGCGUCUGGAUUCAACGUGACCGACCACUCACCGAGAACUCUGCCAAUCACUCCACAAGUACUCACUCGCUGCCACUCAGCAAUCCUCUCAGGUAGUCAGUCUCUGUCACCUAUCACAGACAAGAUGAGGCCCAGAGAGGUUAAGUGACCUGCCCCAGGUCACACAGCUGGGGAGGUGGUGGUGGAGCUGGGGCUUGAAACCAGCUGUUCCAGCCUGGGAGUCAGCACCGAUUCCGCUUUCCCUCACAGCCAAGCCACUCGUGAGGCCACGCAAGUCCGCGGCUGCCACAACCCACCCAAGUCCAGUCCCCUGCGCCCCGGCCCAAACCACCAUCUCGGAGCCACUGUCAGCGCUCACCUGGGGGACAGCUGGAGGGCACUCCCUGCUCUCACUCCUGCCAGCCACCAGAAAUCUCCAGGGUCAUCGCCACCUCCCACAGCUUCUCCUGCCUUUAACAGAGUCCAACGUCUCCCCACAGCCUAAGUGGCAGGGUCCACCCGGUCUGGCCUCUGUGAACCUCAGGGCCCACUGCUCUCCCACUAGCCCACACCCUCCAGCCACACUGGCCACGUUCUGAUCCUCAAACACGCCAAGCUCAUUUCCACCUCAGGGCCUUUACAGGUGCUGUUUGUGCUUCCACUAAGAGCUUCUGGUCCCAAUCUUCUCAGGGUUAGCAGCUUCGAGGCAUUCAGGCCUCUGCCCAAACGUCACCUGGGAGAGGCCUUCCCUGUCCACCCGGGAAAGAAGCUCGCCCCUCCAGCUGUGCAAUGAAAUCACUCUCGUCUUCAUCACCCCGGGCCACGUGUUCCUCUCUGGCUACCUGGCGCGAUAGCCUGUCACGAUAAACAUGGGGUGUCUAACCCCCAGGCCGUCGCGGGUGUGGGGGGCCUGGUUUCCUCCUGUGGAGUCGGGGCUGGCUUAGUGCCGCAGCCGUCUCUGCCCCUGGGAGCCGGCAGGGGACGCGCACAUGGGGUGUGGGGUUGGCAUCCUGGGAUCAGCCAGCGCUGGGUGCCUCUGCCCAUCCAGUCGAGCUACCGUGGGGCUGUCCCUCACCCAGGGCAGGAAUCUCAAAUGCAGACCCUGGGUGGCAGAGAGGCGAGGGCACUGGCAGGUCCCCGAGACCCCCGCCCUUGCAGGCCCC